Biomphalaria pfeifferi is the source of this 765-nucleotide non-coding RNA. The record is from the annotation of a GenBank genome assembly. NCBI's taxonomy places the organism in Eukaryota, Metazoa, Mollusca, Gastropoda, Planorbidae.
CACACAUCUCAACACAUUCAUAUCUUACAAGUAUAGUGCUUCAGUUUAAAUAGGAUGUGCGCUAGAAGUUAUCUCUCCAUUCCCUUAAAAAAAUUAACUAUUUAUUGUGCAUAUUUUUUGUGAACACUAAUCCUGAAGUAAAAACACCUUAAAGGGGACGAUAUAAUGAAACUGUCAAGUGUUUGCCACAGAAAUGUAAUGAGGAAGUUUUUCACACUUCAUCAAACUAUUUAAAUUAUGUCUAUUAAAAGGUAUAUGCAGCAGCUAGUUAUAUAAAAUACUGUAUUGCUAAGUAUUGGCUUGUGUGGGUGUGGCAAAGUAUGUAGUUCACAGGUGGGGCUACACAGCCACAUGAAAUACUCUUCUCCUCACUAAUCUUUGGACUUGAAGACAAGCCUUAUGAAUAUGAUUAUUAUUAUAUGCAACAGCUAUACUCAAAAAUUUGUUAGGAUAUUUAGAAAUAUGAAGAGAUUAUUGACUUAAGUUUAUAAAUUAGUUACAUAAUUAAAAGAAAAACCAUCUUCCUACUGAUAAAUACAGGAAGAGGUUUGGUCAAUGGCCUGUACUCUAUAUCUGAUUUAUGAUCUAAAAUCUAUAACAAUGAUUAGGCAGCAAGUAAAAACACACAGAAUUCAAUACAGUAAUGCAUCUUAAAUUUUAAAACAUUCUAACUGAAACAGCCACUGGCAACGUAAUAUGACCUAAAGUUUACUGUUGAGAAUAUAAACCAUCACACAUGUACAACUUUACAGCAACUCUAGAAUC